This 506-nucleotide ribosomal RNA is filed under the name Cryptocephalus pexicollis. RNAcentral's name for it is "partial 12S ribosomal RNA". The record is from RNAcentral. Lineage: Eukaryota; Metazoa; Arthropoda; Insecta; Coleoptera; Chrysomelidae.
ACAUAUCCUAUAACCCAAUUCAUGAAAUUUUAAUUAAUUACAUUACUACCAAAUCCUAAAAAGAUAAAUUUUACAAACUUAAACUUUAUUAAAGUAACCCACCUCUUCUCUAAAAAGCUGCACCUUGAUUUGAUAUAAAACAAAAUUUUACUUAACGAAAAUUAAUCUUAUUAAAAAAUAUUCAUUAAAACAACGAUAUACAAGCAAUAAUUAAAGUAAAAUAAAUUGUGGACUAUCAAUUACAGGGCAGGUUCCUCUGGUAGGUUAGAAUACCGCCAAGAAAUUUAAUUUUCAAGAACUUAACUAAUACUAAUCUGGUUAAACUUUACAUCGAUUUCUAUAACAGGGUAUCUAAUCCUGGUUUAUAUACAAAAUUUAUCUAGAUCACUUAAUUAAAAAUUCUAUACUUUUUAUUAAAAUUUCACCUUUAAAUAUCACAUUUAUAAAUUAUUUAAUCAGUUAACUAUAAACCAUAAAAAUUAAGUUAUCCCUCUUGUAUAACCGCA